UUGCACGCUGGCGGCAGGCCUAACACAUGCAAGUCGAGCGGAUGAAGGGAGCUUGCUCCUGGAUUCAGCGGCGGACGGGUGAGUAAUGCCUAGGAAUCUGCCUGGUAGUGGGGGAUAACGUCCGGAAACGGGCGCUAAUACCGCAUACGUCCUGAGGGAGAAAGUGGGGGAUCUUCGGACCUCACGCUAUCAGAUGAGCCUAGGUCGGAUUAGCUAGUUGGUGGGGUAAAGGCCUACCAAGGCGACGAUCCGUAACUGGUCUGAGAGGAUGAUCAGUCACACUGGAACUGAGGCACGGUCCAGACUCCUACGGGAGGCAGCAGUGGGGAAUAUUGGACAAUGGGCGAAAGCCUGAUCCAGCCAUGCCGCGUGUGUGAAGAAGGUCUUCGGAUUGUAAAGCACUUUAAGUUGGGAGGAAGGGCAGUAAGUUAAGACCUGGCUGUUUUGACGUUACCAACAGAAGAAGCACCGGCUAACUUCGU
This 482-nucleotide ribosomal RNA is filed under the name uncultured bacterium. RNAcentral describes it as "partial 16S ribosomal RNA". It matches the Rfam family "Bacterial small subunit ribosomal RNA", at positions 30 to 506 of the family's 1533-position model. The record is from RNAcentral.